UGCACAGGACCCCAGAGAGGAAAAAGUGA
RNAcentral lists this non-coding RNA (29 nucleotides) under Homo sapiens (human). The record is from RNAcentral. Lineage: Eukaryota; Metazoa; Chordata; Mammalia; Primates; Hominidae.